Molecule: unclassified non-coding RNA, 1418 nt
Filed under: Leishmania donovani
Lineage: Eukaryota; Euglenozoa; Kinetoplastea; Trypanosomatida; Trypanosomatidae
Description: gene:LdHU3.35.6530(CDS-product:hypothetical_prote in_conserved)
Source: RNAcentral
UUGGCUUUUUCAGCUUACAUUUUUCUUUAUCCGGUCCAACACAUAUCGCUGUCGGCUUCGUUUUCGGAGUUGUCUUCCGUCGUGGUUGUCUAAAGGGCCAUUGUCAGCGGCUUGACGUGCGGUGCUUUCCGUAACUUUUCUCUCUUUCUCCCCAGAACCCCCACAUUGUCAUCAUGCUCGACUACCUCAUCCCCAUCGGCAUGGCCCUAGCGGGCAUCUUCGUCAUGAUGUUCAUCUUCCAGAGCAUCAGCAAGUCAGAGGUCGGCGGUGAAUCGAUCGCACCCGCUCGCAAGCCGCGCUCCAAGAGGUCGCAGCGUCCGUCGCAGAAGUACACGGAAGACGUGCUUGACCUUGCCACGGAGCAGCUCAUUGCGCGCGAGGUGGCCCGCAACCCGUCUGGCAUGAUCACCGACAGCAAGAGGGUGGCGCCACAGACGCUCGACAACAUCCGCAGCCGCCGACAGGCCAGGGAGGAGGGCGAGCACGCCCAACCUCAUGCCAAGGCUAGCGAGCGCCAGAAGCAGUCGGCGAAGGACCAGGGCUUCAAGGUGGUGGAGAGCCCAAAGAACAUGCCGAGGCAGCAGCAGCAGCACGAGGACAAGCAGCAGCGCGAGUCGGAGCAGGUCACGUCCAUCGAGGAGCUUGAUCGUAAGUUGAGCCUCUUUUUCAAGAGCAGCAGUUCCCGAAAGGCAAAGGACGUGAAGCCCAGGGAGGAGGUGCAGAUCGACAGCGGCAUCAACCGCGGUCACGUUGUCGUGAAGGGCGACCUGAGCAAGGCGAAGAGCUGGUAAACGCUACCCACGCAGCCCGUGCUUGCCUGUGGAGUGGGUGGGGGGGGGGCGGGAGAAGGCGGAGAGGAUUUGCAUAUAUGACCUGCACGUUCUCUUUCUUGUGUUUCUCAUGGCUGCCACGCGCACACGCACGAGCUCGGAGGUGCAUGUGAGCUUUUUCCUUCCCCACGGUGUGAGAAUGGGAUACCUUUGCUUCUCUCUCCGUCACUGUCGUGGUGCGUGAGUUGCGGAGGGGGCGGGCGACGCCGGAGACUUCCUCGCUGUUUGCCGCCACCCGUUCUCGUGUGCUUGAGGGACUUUCUGUGGUGCUAUGAAUGAGUUGUGCCUUUUAUUACUGCAUUGGCUCGCAAAGGUAGCGAGUUCUUUCUGCGUCUACAAUAUCUUGCCUGAUCGCGUGGUGACGUACUUGAGUCUGCUUUGCGCCUCUCUUCAGCCACCGUGGCGGCCGGCAAGCACAGGCUGAUGCACGAUUCUCCGUAUGGUGUACUCAUCUUCGAUUCUCAUUGGUGCCGCUGUCCGUGUCUUUAUGAGCCUUUUCUUUUGUGCGCUCUUCUCGCAAUGCAAGCGCGUGCGUCGGCACGGGUGUGUGGCAGAAGUAAGGUGACGUAGUUGUGUGAGGCAACAAAC